Molecule: long non-coding RNA, 193 nt
Organism: Heteronotia binoei (common prickly gecko)
Lineage: Eukaryota; Metazoa; Chordata; Lepidosauria; Squamata; Gekkonidae
Exons: 2
Source: RefSeq, a predicted model, not a curated record
CCCCAACUCUUGGGAGAAUUUUGGCUUUUAACACAUAAUUAAAAUAUUUUUAAGCCUUGACUUUAUGAACUGAUUGGGAGAGAUGGUCAGCAUGAAAUUUAAUUGAUACACGUAUGGAUUAUUGAUGCACUCCUACACAAUUCCUACCAGAUAGGGAGGAAAAAUAAAACACAAGCUAGCUGAGAGAAGGAAA